RNAcentral lists this long non-coding RNA (1897 nucleotides) under Sus scrofa (pig). RNAcentral describes it as "lncRNA (ENSSSCG00035054670.1)". The record is from RNAcentral. Lineage: Eukaryota; Metazoa; Chordata; Mammalia; Artiodactyla; Suidae.
GCACCCCAGUAAACAGAGCCCCUGGCUUUUCAUUGGUUGAGUCUUUGCCAGGAAAGAAGAGGAGUCUUUCUUCUUCCUGUUGCAUUCUGCUCUUAACACAGGGCAUGAGAGCGCCUUCUUCUGGUUUCCCAACUAUAUUUAAUUGAGAUUUCUGUUAAUCAGUUUUUUCACUUUACUUGAACAGAGUUUCUGGAGAGAAUCUAUUAUAUACCCAGUAUGUUUCUAGUUGUUAUAGAUACAGCAGUCAAAAAGACUGGCAGGAGUUCCCGUUGUGGUGCAGUGGAAACAAAUCCGACUAGGAACCAUGAGGUUGGGGGUUUGAUCCCUGGCCUUGCCCAGUGGAUUACAGAUCCAACUUUGCUGUAAGCUGUGGUGGGUCAAAUCAGAGCUGUAACUGCCAGCCUGCACCACAGCCACAGCAAUGCCAGAUCUAAGCCACAUCUGUGACCUAUACCAAAAUGCCGGAUCCUUGACCCACUGAAUGAGGCCAGGAGUGGAACCUGCGUCCUCAUAGAUGCUAGUCAGAUUUGCUUCCGAUGAGCCGCGAUGGGAACUCCGGGAUACUUAAUUUUAUGUUGGGGUUUGUUUGAGGUUUUUUGCUACCUUUUACAUUUUGGAGUGUGACUAUAUUAUCUAUUCAGAAGCAUCUUUAAAUAAAAUGAACAUGUCAGGAAUGUUCAUUGUGAUGUCAUUUAAAAAUGAAAAUGUGCAAAACCAUCUAAAUUUCUCUCAACAGUAUGUAUAAAUUGGGGUCAAAUCAUGCAGUGACAUAUGUGAGCAUAGUUGAAAUAAAUGGGUUAAGCUUUUUAUGUCAGUAUAGAUAAAUCUCAAAUUUAUAAUGUUAAGUGAGAAAGAUAAGUUACACACCCAGCGGGAUUUUAUCAAUGGAAAGUUUGAAAAUACAGUAAAUAAUGCAUUUCAGCUAUGAUGUUUUAUUCUUUUUUUUUUUUUUUUAAACCAAAAUGUCUUUAACGGGAUGGUUUCCUGUUCAUCUGGAUUCAGGGUGCUUUUAGUGCUGCUUCCAUCAGAAGGAGCAGCCUCUGUAAGCCUUGCCUUUCCUCCUGUAGGCUGGUAAAGGACAGUAGAGCAGCCAGCACAUAAAACCACUUGUGUAUGGCUAAAGAUGGUGGUGAUUUUAUAGCAUCCUGGGCAUUUCACUUCCAUGAAAUAGGAAUUGGGGCUCUGUACCAGGCACUUCUUGUUGUUUCCUCUUUCCUCUGCUGGGGAGGGAUGAAGAUCUUUUGCAAGGGGUAUGUUCCCAUAGGGAGAGUGUCACCACUGGAAAGCUGUUUUAUUCUUUAAAAAAGAAAUGUAAUGGAUGUAUAGCACAAAAUCUUAUAAACCCAUUAAGCUGGGUACGUGUAUUUUUGUUGUUAUCCUUUGUACUUUUUUUAGUGUGUUUGAAAUACUGAACAGUUCUUUUUUUAAGUUAAGAAUAUGCCAGAGUUCCCAUUGUGGCUCAGUGUAAGAACCUGACUAGCAUCUAUGAGGAUGCAGGUUCAAUCCCUGGCCUCGCUCAGUGGAUUAAGGAUCCAGUGUUGCCGAAAGCUGUGCUGUAGGUUGCAGAAGCAGCUUGGAUCCAGUGUUGCUUUGGCUGUGGCAUAGGUAGGCAGCUGCAGCUCUCAUUCAACCCCUAGCCCAGAAAUAGCCACAUGCCACACGUGGGACCCUUAAAAAGUUAAGAAAAUGUGCCUAAGAGUUCCCACUGUGGCACAUUGGGAUCAGCGGCACCUUGGGAGCACUGGCACACAGGUUUAAUCCCCUGCCUGGCAUAGCGGAUUAAGUAUCCAGCUUUGCUGCAGCUACAACUUAGGUCACAGCUACUGCUUGUAUCUGAUCCUUGGCCCAGGAACUCCAUAUGCUGCAGGAUGGCCAAGAAAGAAAAAAAAAAGAAAAA